Molecule: ribosomal RNA, 253 nt
Filed under: uncultured bacterium
Lineage: Bacteria
Description: partial 16S ribosomal RNA
Rfam family: Bacterial small subunit ribosomal RNA
Source: RNAcentral
UACGUAGGGGGCUAGCGUUGUCCGGAUUUAUUGGGCGUAAAGAGCGUGUAGGCGGCCAGGUAGGUCUGGUGUGAAAACUCGAGGCUUAACCUCGAGAUGUCAUCGGAAACCAUCUGGCUAGAGUCCGGAAGAGGAGAGUGGAAUUCCUGGUGUAGCGGUGAAAUGCGCAGAUAUCAGGAAGAACACCAAUGGCGAAGGCAGGUCUCUGGGCCGAUACUGACGCUGAGGAGCGAAAGCGUGGGGAGCGAACAGG